GUGGGGAAUUUUGGACAAUGGGCGCAAGCCUGAUCCAGCCAUUCCGCGUGCAGGAUGAAGGCCUUCGGGUUGUAAACUGCUUUUGUACGGAACGAAAAGGUUCUCUCUAAUACAGGGGGCUGAUGACGGUACCGUAAGAAUAAGCACCGGCUAACUACGUGCCAGCAGCCGCGGUAAUACGUAGGGUGCAAGCGUUAAUCGGAAUUACUGGGCGUAAAGCGUGCGCAGGCGGUGAUGUAAGACAGAUGUGAAAUCCCCGGGCUCAACCUGGGAACUGCAUUUGUGACUGCAUUGCUGGAGUGCGGCAGAGGGGGAUGGAAUUCCGCGUGUAGCAGUGAAAUGCGUAGAUAUGCGGAGGAACACCGAUGGCGAAGGCAAUCCCCUGGGCCUGCACUGACGCUCAUGCACGAAAGCGUGGGGAGCAAACAGGAUUAGAAACCCGAGUAGUCC
Molecule: ribosomal RNA, 450 nt
Filed under: uncultured bacterium
Lineage: Bacteria
Description: partial 16S ribosomal RNA
Rfam family: Bacterial small subunit ribosomal RNA
Source: RNAcentral